This 195-nucleotide transfer-messenger RNA is filed under the name Treponema sp. RNAcentral's name for it is "partial transfer-messenger RNA". It matches the Rfam family "transfer-messenger RNA", at positions 1 to 218 of the family's 374-position model. Rfam says of the family: Bacterial tmRNA, also known as 10Sa RNA or SsrA, is named for its dual tRNA and mRNA-like properties. Its role is to liberate the mRNA from a stalled ribosome. To accomplish this part of the tmRNA is used as a reading frame that ends in a translation stop signal. Lineage: Bacteria; Pseudomonadati; Spirochaetota; Spirochaetia; Treponematales; Treponemataceae. The record is from RNAcentral.
GGGGGUGCACCGGUUUCGACUGGUACGGUUCGGGGUACAGGCUGCAGGUGGAGUGCCGACCUCCUGAUUCGGCAACAAUUUAACUGCCAACAACGACAGUUACGAUUACGCCUUAGCUGCGUAACCGCGUGGAACCCUUCCGCCGCUCUGAGGAAGGGCUUCCGCGUCGCAAUCAGGGCUGGCCGUAUGAAACCU